GGGCAAAAGCUGACUUGGCAGAAGCUGUCUGAUACUGUGGGUCAUCCUGACCUUGAGACUGCGCAAUGUGCCCUGGCAGAUUCAGAGUGUGUCCUGCUAGAACCCAUGUGCUGGACUCACAUUUCCAAGUGUGCAUGCAGCAUGCAUUCAUUACUGCAUCUGAUGGAAGCACAAAGGGAGAGACAAAGAUGCAGAGAACAAUGCUCAGAAUGGCUGUAUUGCACACAAUCCUCUUUUGAGGACCCAUUCCUGAAAGAAAGCAGGCCAUGCUGGUCUCAGUAUUUGCAUGGAAGGAUAUCUGCCAGUGAAUGAGUCUGUUGAAAUCACCACACCAAAUUCAACAUUAAGGGCCAACCCUGACCACAGCUGAGUCGUGUGAAGAGGCUGACAGCAGAGUGGCCACCACCCAGGAUGGAGAGAAAGGCACCAUGAGGUGUUAAUGGAAAAAUCCAACUUCCUUUUCUGCCAAAGAUGAUGACUGAAACCAAAGUGGAGCUUUCCCUUGUAAAGUGAAAGCAAAGUUUUAAAAUUUUUUCUCCUCUGCAAGAAAAUAUAUUUCAGAAGAUCCCUAUCUCAAAAAUGAAGCAAUUAAGAACUGUCUGGCUGUGAGGAUCUGGCCUCAACUUGACUUAAAGCAACAACUUCAGUUACGUAUCAAGAUGUGCAUGAGAAUGAACCUGCUCUGCUCAGCCAACGUGCUGAGUGACUUGAUGUUUGUAAUAAAUAAAUAAAUAAAUAAAUAAACAACAAACAGGUUGUCAUGAAA
This 766-nucleotide long non-coding RNA is filed under the name Pongo abelii (Sumatran orangutan). RNAcentral's name for it is "lincRNA". Lineage: Eukaryota; Metazoa; Chordata; Mammalia; Primates; Hominidae. The record is from RNAcentral.